CCAUAUGGUCUUAGAUAUUGAU
RNAcentral lists this non-coding RNA (22 nucleotides) under Arabidopsis thaliana (thale cress). Lineage: Eukaryota; Viridiplantae; Streptophyta; Magnoliopsida; Brassicales; Brassicaceae. The record is from RNAcentral.